Long non-coding RNA from Sapajus apella (tufted capuchin), 102 nucleotides. RefSeq lists it as uncharacterized. The transcript is spliced from 4 exons. The record is from RefSeq and is a predicted model, not a curated record. Lineage: Eukaryota; Metazoa; Chordata; Mammalia; Primates; Cebidae.
ACCAAUGUCAAUUAGUUCAGCUGAGGCAAUCUGUAUUUUCAAGGCCAAUUUACAUGGACGUGCCCAUGAGUUAGGUUUCUGUGCUCAGGGUCAUGCACUGUG